AGUGAACGCUGGCGGCGUGCUUAACACAUGCAAGUCGAACGAGAACGGAUUAUAGCUCGCUAUAAUUGUCAGCUAAGUGGCGCACGGGUGAGUAAUGUAUAGGUAAUAUGCCUUUUACUAAGGAAUAACAAAUGGAAACGUUUGCUAAUACCUUAUACUCCUUAUUAACCUAAGUUAAUAAGGGAAAGAUUUAUUGGUAAGAGAUUAGCCUGUAUUGUAUCAGUUAGUUGGUGGGGUAAUGGCUUACCAAGACUAUGACACAUAACUGGUUUGAGAGGAUGAUCAGUCACACUGGAACUGAGACACGGUCCAGACUCCUACGGGAGGCAGCAGUGGGGAAUAUUGCACAAUGGACGGAAGUCUGAUGCAGCAACGCCGCGUGGAGGAUGACACAUUUCGGUGCGUAAACUCCUUUUAUAUGAGGAGAUAAUGACGGUAUUAUAUGAAUAAGCACCGGCUAACUCCGUGCCAGCCGCCGCGGUAA
Molecule: ribosomal RNA, 484 nt
Filed under: uncultured bacterium
Lineage: Bacteria
Description: partial 16S ribosomal RNA
Rfam family: Bacterial small subunit ribosomal RNA
Source: RNAcentral